GUUUCUGUAGUUGAAGGACAACGAUGAUUUUUCAUGUCAUAGGUCGUGGAUAAAACCAUGCGGAAAUU
RNAcentral lists this transfer RNA (68 nucleotides) under Crocidura gueldenstaedtii (Guldenstadt's white-toothed shrew). RNAcentral describes it as "Crocidura suaveolens gueldenstaedtii tRNA-Glu". It matches the Rfam family "tRNA". Rfam says of the family: Transfer RNA (tRNA) molecules are approximately 80 nucleotides in length. The record is from RNAcentral. Lineage: Eukaryota; Metazoa; Chordata; Mammalia; Eulipotyphla; Soricidae.